Molecule: long non-coding RNA, 521 nt
Filed under: Triticum aestivum (bread wheat)
Lineage: Eukaryota; Viridiplantae; Streptophyta; Magnoliopsida; Poales; Poaceae
Description: long non-coding RNA (TAES_LNC014855)
Source: RNAcentral
CUUAACAACCAUUGCGACAGUAAACGUCCUAACUCAAACACAGUUCUGGCUCUCAACAAGGGCAUCAAACAUCUGAACCAAAAAUCCGAGCAGGCACAGACGAGGCGAAAAGCCCCACAGAAAGGAAGAGAAAUAAGAUUAUUCAGGCAAACACAAGUACUGGACUGAACGAUUUAUAUAAUCUUCACAAACCACAACCAAAAAAGAGUACUUGAUUAGCAACUCCAUUACAGAAGUACUAGUUGAUGCGGAAAACAGAAGGUAACUCAUGUCCAACUAACAUGAACCAGGCGUCGUCUGGCGACACCAUCCACAUUUAUUCUUCGCAUAGACAAAGCAGGGACACCUGACCAAAGGAAAUCAGAACGCUCUACUGAGUCUUGGCCAUGUGGCGGAUCAGAUCGACAACGCGGUUGCUGCACAGAAAUAAGAUUCAAGUGUUACAGGCUGAAGCUGAAGCGAUGAAACAGAGACAUUGGAUAGCGUGUUGUAGAAACAAAUCCGUUAUAUGGCAACUAACC